CCUCUAAGCAUCAGGUAACACGAAAUCGUACCCCAAACCGACACAGGUGGUCAGGUAGAGAAUACCAAGGCGCUUGAGAGAACUCGGGUGAAGGAACUAGGCAAAAUGGUGCCGUAACUUCGGGAGAAGGCACGCUGAUAUGUAGGUGAAGUGAUUUACUCAUGGAGCUGAAAUCAGUCGAAGAUACCAGCUGGCUGCAACUGUUUAUUAAAAACACAGCACUGUGCAAACACGAAAGUGGACGUAUACGGUGUGACGCCUGCCCGGUGCCGGAAGGUUAAUUGAUGGGGUUAUCCGUAAGGAGAAGCUCUUGAUCGAAGCCCCGGUAAACGGCGGCCGUAACUAUAACGGUCCUAAGGUAGCGAAAUUCCUUGUCGGGUAAGUUCCGACCUGCACGAAUGGCGUAAUGAUGGCCAGGCUGUCUCCACCCGAGACUCAGUGAAAUUGAACUCGCUGUGAAGAUGCAGUGUACCCGCGGCAAGACGGAAAGACCCCGUGAACCUUUACUAUAGCUUGACACUGAACACUGGUCCUUGAUGUGUAGGAUAGGUGGGAGGCUUUGAAGUGUGGACGCCAGUCUGCAUGGAGCCAUCCUUGAAAUACCACCCUUUAAUGGCUGGUGUUCUAACGUAGACCCGUAAUCCGGGUUGCGGACAGUGUCUGGUGGGUAGUUUGACUGGGGCGGUCUCCUCCUAAAGAGUAACGGAGGAGCACGAAGGUUAGCUAAUCCUGGUCGGACAUCAGGAGGUUAGUGCAAAGGCAUAAGCUAGCUUGACUGCGAGAGUGACGGCUCGAGCAGGUGCGAAAGCAGGUCUUAGUGAUCCGGUGGUUCUGAAUGGAAGGGCCAUCGCUCAACGGAUAAAAGGUACUCCGGGGAUAACAGGCUGAUACCGCCCAAGAGUUCAUAUCGACGGCGGUGUUUGGCACCUCGAUGUCGGCUCAUCACAUCCUGGGGCUGAAGUAGGUCCCAAGGGUAUGGCUGUUCGCCAUUUAAAGUGGUACGCGAGCUGGGUUUAGAACGUCGUGAGACAGUUCGGUCCCUAUCUGCCGUGGGCGCUGGAGAAUUGAGGGGGGCUGCUCCUAGUACGAGAGGACCGGAGUGGACGCAUCACUGGUGUUCGGGUUGUCAUGCCAAUGGCAUUGCCCGGUAGCUAAAUGCGGAAGAGAUAAGUGCUGAAAGCAUCUAAGCACGAAACUUGCCCCGAGAUGAGUUCUCCCUGACUCCUUGAGAGUCCUGAAGGAACGUUAAAGACGAUGACGUUGAUAGGUCGGGUGUGUAAGUGUAGCGAUACAUUGAGCUAACCGAUACUAAUGAACCGUGAGGCUUAACCUU
Molecule: ribosomal RNA, 1333 nt
Filed under: Citrobacter sp. Cpo148
Lineage: Bacteria; Pseudomonadati; Pseudomonadota; Gammaproteobacteria; Enterobacterales; Enterobacteriaceae
Description: partial 23S ribosomal RNA
Rfam family: Bacterial large subunit ribosomal RNA
Source: RNAcentral